UACGGGGGGAGCAAGCGUUGUUCGGAUUUACUGGGCGUAAAGGGCGCGUAGGCGGUCAGCACAAGUCAGUUGUGAAAUCUCCGGGCUUAACCCGGAAAGGUCAACUGAUACUGUGCGACUAGAGUGCGGAAGGGGCAACUGGAAUUCUCGGUGUAGCGGUGAAAUGCGUAGAUAUCGAGAGGAACACCUGCGGCGAAGGCGGGUUGCGGGGCCGACACUGACGCUGAUGCGCGAAAGCCAGGGGAGCGAACGGG
Molecule: ribosomal RNA, 254 nt
Filed under: uncultured bacterium
Lineage: Bacteria
Description: partial 16S ribosomal RNA
Rfam family: Bacterial small subunit ribosomal RNA
Source: RNAcentral